This 1202-nucleotide long non-coding RNA is filed under the name Homo sapiens (human). RNAcentral's name for it is "HSALNT0142008". Lineage: Eukaryota; Metazoa; Chordata; Mammalia; Primates; Hominidae. The record is from RNAcentral.
CGCUCGGAGUGCGGGGCCCACCACAACCACGCCCACCCGGAACUCCAGCUAGCCCGCAAGCGCCGUACGCAGCCCCGGUUCCCGCUCGCGCCUCUCCCUCCACAUCUCCCUGCAAGCUGAGGGAGCCGGCUCCUGCCUUGGCCAGCCCAGAAAGCGGCUCCCAUAGUGCAGUGGUGAGCUGAAGGGCUCCUCAAGUGCUGCCAAAGUGGGAGGCCAGGCAGAGGAGGCGCCGAGAGCAAGCGAAGGCUGUGAGGACUGCCAGCACGCUGUCACCUCUCAAUACUACAGACAGGAUCUCUCAUCUCCGCACACGAGAAGAAAAAACCCACGGAACCAGUAGGGCUGGACCCUACACGGAUGUGUAUAAUUAAAAAGAAGAGACAAGCUCUGGAGACAAUGUGGAGUAAUUGGAACCCUCAAGUGCUGAUGGUAGGAUUAUAAAAUGUUCCAGCCAUUUGGGAAAAGAAUUUGCCAGUUAUCAACAUGUUAAACACAGAAUCUCUUCCUAGGUAUAUAUUCAAGAGAAAGAAAAGCAUAUAUGCACCAAAAAAUUAAAAAAAAAAACACUUUUACAUGGAUGCUUAUAUAUGAUUCAUAGUAGCCAAAAAUAGAAGCCACCCGAAUAUCCAUCAACUGAUAAAUGGAUUUGCCAAAUGUCAUAUAUUCAUAAAUGGAAUAUUAUUCCAAAAGAAGAACAGAGUAUUAAUACAAGAUGCAUCAUGGAUGAACCCUGAAAACAUUAUGCUAAAUAAAAGAAGCCAGUCAUAAAAGAUUGUAUUAUGAUUCGAUUUACAUAAAAUCUCCAGAAUAAGCAAAUCUAUAUAUGUAGAGAGAAAGCAGAUUAAUGAUUGCCUAUGAUUUCAGGCAAUUGAUUAGUCAAUUGAUUACUAUAGGCAAUGGUUGUCUAUGACCAUACAAGUAGUUGCAUGUGGUAAGGAAAGGUCAAUGAUAAAGAGUUACUGCUAAUGAAUAUGUAGUUUUUUGUUUUUGUUUUUUGAGUGUUGAAAAUGUUCUAGAAUUAGAAUGUGGGGAUGAUAUUACAACUCUGUGAAAAUAUUUUUAAAAACAUUGACAUGUACACUUUAAAUAGAUAAAUUAUAUGCUAUAUGAAUUCUUUAUCAAUAAAUAGGUUUAAAAAGUUCCUAAUGGGAAAAUAUAAUAUUCAUUCAAAUAUUUAUAGCCACAUGCAAAAUACAUUACCU